Molecule: ribosomal RNA, 468 nt
Filed under: uncultured bacterium
Lineage: Bacteria
Description: partial 16S ribosomal RNA
Rfam family: Bacterial small subunit ribosomal RNA
Source: RNAcentral
GACGAACGCUGGCGGCGUGCUUAACACAUGCAAGUCGAACGGCAAGGCCCUGCUUUUGUGGGGUGCUCGAGUGGCGAACGGGUGAGUAACACGUGAGUAACCUGCUCUUGACUUUGGGAUAACUUCAGGUAACUGGGGCUAAUACCGGACAGCAUCCGCUGUUGCAUUGUGGGGGUUGGAUCGUUGCGGCGGUCGGGGAUGGACUCGCGGCUGAUCAGCUUGUUGGUUGGGUAGUGGCUUACCCAGGCUUUGGACGAUAGCCGGCCGGAGAGGGGGAACGGCCACAUUAGGACUGAGAUACGGCGCAGACUCCUACGGGAGGCAGCAGUGGGGAAUAUUGCACAAUGGGCGGAAGCCUGAUGCAGCAACGCCGCGUGUGGGAUGACGGCCUUCGGGUUGUAAACCGCAUUCGCCUGUGACGAAGCGUGAGUGACGGUAAUGAGUGAAGAAGCACCGGCUAACUACGUG